ACUGCUGGUCUGGGUGCAGGCCUGGUCUCUCUCUCUCUCUCCGCUGCAGGGUGUGACUGGCAGGUGUGUUGCAUCUCGGCCAAUUAAGGCUCGUACUUAAGGAGCUGAGACCAGGAGGAGGGCGUCAGUUCUUUCUCGCUUCCAGAGUGAAACUCAAAGAAUCCGAGAAACCUUCAAGCCUGGACCCUCCUCGAAACCUGCAGUUCUCCUACCGUAAAACCACCUUGACCCUCCUCUUGGUGCUCACCUGCCUGUCCACCCUCCAACACAAACAGCAUCGCAGAGAGAACCACUGGAAUACACCCGGACCCAGGACACCCCCCUCCCAGACUUCUGCCAAGCCACUGCCUCUAACCCAGAACGAGCCAACCAGACGCACACCCCGUCCUUUGUUUAAUAAAAACCAUUUUU
Molecule: long non-coding RNA, 411 nt
Organism: Fundulus heteroclitus (mummichog)
Lineage: Eukaryota; Metazoa; Chordata; Actinopteri; Cyprinodontiformes; Fundulidae
Exons: 3
Source: RefSeq, a predicted model, not a curated record